AUUGAACGCUGGCGGCAUGCCUUACACAUGCAAGUCGAACGGUAACGGGCCUUCUGGUGCCGACGAGUGGCGCACGGGUGUGUAAUACAUCGGAACGUGCCCGAUCGUGGGGGAUAACGCGGCGAAAGCUUUGCUAAUAUCGCAUACGAUCUACGGAUGAAAGCAGGGGACCGCAAGGCCUUGCGCGGACGGAGCGGCCGAUGGCAGAUUAGGUAGUUGGUGGGAUAAAAGCUUACCAAGCCGACGAUCUGUAGCUGGUCUGAGAGGAUGAUCAGCCACACUGGGACUGAGACACGGCCCAGACUCCUACGGGAGGCAGCAGUGGGGAAUUUUGGACAAUGGGCGCAAGCCUGAUCCAGCCAUGCCGCGUGCAGGAUGAAGGCCUUCGGGUUGUAAACUGCUUUUGUACGGAACGAAAAGCCUUCUUUUAAUACAGGAGGGUCAUGACGGUACCGUAAGAAUAAGCACCGGCUAACUACGUG
Molecule: ribosomal RNA, 482 nt
Filed under: uncultured bacterium
Lineage: Bacteria
Description: partial 16S ribosomal RNA
Rfam family: Bacterial small subunit ribosomal RNA
Source: RNAcentral